RNAcentral lists this ribosomal RNA (467 nucleotides) under uncultured bacterium. RNAcentral describes it as "partial 16S ribosomal RNA". It matches the Rfam family "Bacterial small subunit ribosomal RNA", at positions 28 to 507 of the family's 1533-position model. The record is from RNAcentral.
GACGAACGCUGGCGGCGUGCUUAACACAUGCAAGUCGAACGGAAAGGCCCUGCUUUUGUGGGGUGCUCGAGUGGCGAACGGGUGAGUACACGUGAGUAACCUACCCUUGACUUUGGGAUAACUUCAGGAAACUGGGGCUAAUACCGGAUAGGAGCUCCUGCUGCAUGGUGGGGGUUGGAAAGUUUCGGCGGUUGGGGAUGGACUCGCGGCUUAUCAGCUUGUUGGUGGGGUAGUGGCUUACCAAGGCUUUGACGGGUAGCCGGCCUGAGAGGGUGACCGGCCACAUUGGGACUGAGAUACGGCCCAGACUCCUACGGGAGGCAGCAGUGGGGAAUAUUGCACAAUGGGCGGAAGCCUGAUGCAGCAACGCCGCGUGCGGGAUGACGGCCUUCGGGUUGUAAACCGCUUUCGCCUGUGACGAAGCGUGAGUGACGGUAAUGGGUAAAGAAGCACCGGCUAACUACGUG